CGGCGCGAGGUGCGGAGAUCCGGGUGCUCCAGCCGCCCGCACGGGUGUUCAGCGUCGCCCGGUGCCAG
Molecule: transfer RNA, 68 nt
Filed under: Winogradskya humida
Lineage: Bacteria; Bacillati; Actinomycetota; Actinomycetes; Micromonosporales; Micromonosporaceae
Description: Actinoplanes humidus tRNA-Trp
Source: RNAcentral